Molecule: ribosomal RNA, 530 nt
Filed under: Metschnikowia sp. T1Ms
Lineage: Eukaryota; Fungi; Ascomycota; Pichiomycetes; Serinales; Metschnikowiaceae
Description: eukaryotic LSU rRNA
Rfam family: Eukaryotic large subunit ribosomal RNA
Source: RNAcentral
GGAAAAGAAACCAACAGGGAUUGCCUCAGUAACGGCGAGUGAAGCGCGCAAAAGCUCAAAUUUGAAAUCCCCCGGGAAUUGUAAUUUGAAGGUGGCCUCAGUUAGUCCAAACAUUCUUAAGUCCAUUGGAAAAUGGCGCCAUGGAGGGUGAUAGCCCCGUAAAGAUGUCGUUUGUUCUAUUUUCUCUGGCCACCAAAGAGUCGAGUUGUUUGGGAAUGCAGCUCUAAGUGGGUGGUAAAUUCCAUCUAAAGCUAAAUAUUGGCGAGAGACCGAUAGCGAACAAGUACAGUGAUGGAAAGAUGAAAAGCACUUUGAAAAGAGAGUGAAAAAGUACGUGAAAUUGUUGAAAGGGAAGGGCUUGCAAGCAGACACAACCUCGUGUUGGGCCAGCAUCGGGGCGAGAGGAAGUAAAAACGAUUUGGAAAUGUAACUUUCGAGUAUUAUAGACCUUAUCCCUCCCUUCCAUCUCAUCCCGAGGCCUGCGGUUUAUCCUAGGAUGCUGGCGUAAUGGUUGCAAGUCGCCCGUCUUG